This 253-nucleotide ribosomal RNA is filed under the name uncultured bacterium. RNAcentral's name for it is "partial 16S ribosomal RNA". It matches the Rfam family "Bacterial small subunit ribosomal RNA", at positions 524 to 776 of the family's 1533-position model. The record is from RNAcentral.
UACGGAGGGUGCAAACGUUAUCCGGAAUCACUGGGCGUAAAGAGCAUGUAGGUGGUUUAGUAAGUGGGCGAUUAAAGACCGAUGCUUAACAUCGGGACUGUUACCCAUACUGCUAGACUUGAAGGAGACAGGGGUAAGCGGAACUUUAGGUGUAGGGGUGAAAUCCGUAGAUAUCUAAAGGAACACCAAUGGCGAAGGCAGCUUACUGGGUCUUUCUUGACACUGAGAUGCGAAAGCGUGGGUAGCAAACAGG